RNAcentral lists this long non-coding RNA (819 nucleotides) under Aquilegia coerulea. Its description in RNAcentral is "long non-coding RNA (ACOE_LNC001545)". The record is from RNAcentral. Lineage: Eukaryota; Viridiplantae; Streptophyta; Magnoliopsida; Ranunculales; Ranunculaceae.
AAGAGUCCACAGCUACAACGUGAAGAGGUCAGUCAGAAAGCAAAUAAAUGAUUACAAUCAUAAUAUUUUACACGUGGAUUCAUUCAAAUUCCAGAUCUUCCUUAUAAAAAGUAAGACAUGAUUGAGUAUUGGAUUUUUUAUAUUGCAUUGUGCAAAUUCAGUUACCAAACAAUCACACAAACCAAUUUCUCAACCAAGUCUAAAUUCUUCUACUUCCACGUUGAAAUAAUGGGGAAGAAAAAAACACAAGAACAGAAGCUUACAAGUACAAGCAACUAGAAAAGUCUUUUGGACAUUAUCAUCGUUGUCCAAGAGCAUCUUGGACAAAACUUCAUGUUCUAUUAGGAUGUUCUUCUAACAUGUCCAGGAUAUUCUACAAUCAUACGUUCUCUUGCUUUUACAUUUCAGUUCAGAAGGAGAUAGGAUUUAAAAUCAGUGAAAAUAUCCAAGAACCUGGCUUCCCACAUUCUGCCUCAUAGCCUCUUCAUGUCCAAAACACCAUUUGGAGUUGUGAUCACAAUCUAGCCCCACUGCAUGAGCAAAUACAAUUUUCUGCAUUAAAAUAAGCAAAUAUUUGCAGCGACUCAAUUAUAUGAAAUUUGUGCAACAAUGAACAUAUGCAGUAAUACUGUUCAACAAUCAAAGCUUUGAUUCCUAAUCCUCAUAUAGAAAAGAAAGAAAUACAACUUAAUCAAGAAAUAUAGUACUCAGUAUAGCAACCUGUGCAAAACUCACAGGUAUCAACAAGUUUUUCUUCUCUUUCAACUGAUUAAGAGCUAUAAACCUGUUCUAUUAGUAGUAAAAGGGCUUGUGUUUUUG